Molecule: long non-coding RNA, 1405 nt
Organism: Esox lucius (northern pike)
Lineage: Eukaryota; Metazoa; Chordata; Actinopteri; Esociformes; Esocidae
Source: Ensembl
AAAAAUGUACUACAUGUCAGAAAGGUUCUUGCCUGUGUUAGAAGAGCACAGAAUUGCAGAAGAUGGUCCCCCUGUAACCCGUAGUAAUUGGAGCCCACAGCAGUAUUUCCAGCAGUACAUUGACAAUGAACUAAUUCAGGACCUGUCCUUCAUCAACCAACGUAUGGUACAGGAUUCAGGCUUAAGCACAACACCAGAAGAAAUCAAGACCUUUUUAGGAAUCUCGAAAAUAUGGUGCGAUCCACUUGCCUGAAAUGGUUGCCAGUCCAAAUCCUUCCAGAUGCAGAAUGCCUGGGUGCACUAGUAGAACCUAUGUGAGAUGUGUUAAAUGUGACAUGUUCCUAUGUGUCUCCAAAAAGUCACAGUGCUUCCUCACAUAUCACAAAUGAAUUGGUAUUUGUGAACUGGCAAACCAAAUGUUCAUCAUAGGGCUAUGGCCAGUGAAAAGUUGAAUGAGUUGUAUGUGUAUUUGACCCUGACUGAGUUGUAUCCUAUGUUUUUGUGAAGUUUUUAUGCAGUUUGUGUGUGUUGUGUUGAUAUCCAGGCAGAUUUUUAAUUCUGUUGAUGUUUUAGGGUCGGGAUGAAUUAAGUCCCGUUGUACACUACAGUUCACAUUAUAAAACAUUAAUGAAAUUAUGAAAAAAUCUAAAAUCUUUGCAAUGUGUUUUUUUACCACCCCAACACAUCCUUUAUAUAAAAAAAAUCUAAACACCUUUCCCCCCCCCCAGGUCUCAGGAGGAUAUAGGUGGUGCAUUGUGGGAUUGUUGACGGUGAUGUACGCUGUCUGCUGUUACCUAACUGCCAACAUUUUUCGAAUUUACUCUUGUUGAGAUAAAUGAAGUUUAAAUAAUGCUGAUUUAAUAACCAUGUAUUCUUAUGUUUUUGUUUUAUUAAAUUGUAUGCUGCAGCCAGGUUAGGGAAAUAUGAAUACACAGAUUGAAUACAAUAACCAUAAAAAGUUUAGAACUCCAUACAUUACACUCAGACUUUACACCUGGCUGAGAUAGAGAGACAGGAUUAAAACCCCACAAUUAACAUACAAAUGAAACUGCCUCCUAUACAGCACAAAGAGACCUUCUGUCUCCAGCCCCCUGAUGUUCUAGUCUAGGUUAGGACAAUAAAAUGUAAAUUACUGUAACCUGGUUAAGAUUUCACACCUGUAUGCAAAUAACCUGUUGAUCUAUGACUGAGAGUAAGAGCAUGCUCUUCUUCAUGGUACAGCGAAAACAAAGAGAUUCGUCCAACAUGUCACCAUGCCAACAAAGAACCAAUAAGGAAGGGUUUUACUCACGAGAGUGAAAAGUAACCGCCCCUGUGGCGGGAGUAUUAAAAACAAUGUUCGAUCUUGAUUCGGGGCGAAUAUUUUGUGGAAGCUCGAGGGUUGAGCAAAAUAUUUGACCGCUGC